UAAGCGAAUAAGCGUACACGGUGGAUGCCUAGGCAAUCAGAGGCGAUGAAGGACGUGCUAAUCUGCGAAAAGCGUCGGUAAGGUGAUAUGAACCGUUAUACCCGACGAUAUCCGAAUGGGGAAACCCAGUAUCCAAUGGAUACUAUCAUUAACUGAAUCCAUAGGUUAAUGAGGCGAACCGGGAGAACUGAAACAUCUCAGUACCCCGAGGAAAAGAAAUCAACCGAGAUUCCCCUAGUAGCGGCGAGCGAACGGGGAGCAGCCCAGAGUCUUAAUCAAUAGCAGUGUCAGGAGAACGGUCUGGAAAGUCCGGCAGUAAAGGGUGAUAGCCCCGUAUCUGAAGAUGCUGUUGUUGUGAACUCGACGAGUAGGGCGGGACACGUGUUAUCCUGUCUGAAUAUGGGGGGACCAUCCUCCAAGGCUAAAUACUCCUGAUUGACCGAUAGUGAACCAGUACCGUGAGGGAAAGGCGAAAAGAACCCCGGCGAGGGGAGUGAAAAAGAACCUGAAACCGUGUACGUACAAGCAGUAGGAGCCUCUUUAUGGGGUGACUGCGUACCUUUUGUAUAAUGGGUCAGCGACUUAUAUUCUGUAGCAAGGUUAACCGUAUAGGGGAGCCGUAGGGAAACCGAGUCUUAACUGGGCGAAUGAGUUGCAGGGUAUAGACCCGAAACCCGGUGAUCUAUCCAUGGGCAGGUUGAAGGUUGGGUAACACUAACUGGAGGACCGAACCGACUAAUGUUGAAAAAUUAGCGGAUGACUUGUGGAUGGGGGUGAAAGGCCAAUCAAACCGGGAGAUAGCUGGUUCUCCCCGAAAGCUAUUUAGGUAGCGCCUCGUGAAUUCAUCUUCGGGGGUAGAGCACUGUUUCGACUAGGGGGUCAUCCCGACUUACCAACUCGAUGCAAACUGCGAAUACCGAAGAAUGUUAUCACGGGAGACACACGGCGGGUGCUAACGUCCGUCGUGAAGAGGGAAACAACCCAGACCGCCAGCUAAGGUCCCAAAGUCAUGGUUAAGUGGGAAACGAAGUGGGAAGGCUCAGACAGCCAGGAUGUUGGCUUAGAAGCAGCCAUCAUUUAAAGAAAGCGUAAUAGCUCACUGGUCGAGUCGGCCCGCGCGGAAGAUGUAACGGGGCUAAACCAUGCACCGAAGCUGCGGCAGCGACACAAAGUGUUGUUGGGUAGGGGAGCGUUCUGUAAGCCUGCGAAGGUGUACUGUGAGGUAUGCUGGAGGUAUCAGAAGUGCGAAUGCUGACAUAAGUAACGAUAAUGCGGGUGAAAAACCCGCACGCCGGAAGACCAAGGGUUCCUGUCCAACGUUAAUCGGGGCAGGGUGAGUCGACCCCUAAGGCGAGGCUGAAAAGCGUAGUCGAUGGGAAACGGGUUAAUAUUCCCGUACUGGUGGUAACUGCGAUGGGGGAACGGAGAAGGCUAGGUUGUCCGGGCGACGGUCGUCCCGGUUCAAGCAGGUAGGCAGAGUGAUUAGGCAAAUCCGGUCACUUAAUGCUGAGAUGUGAUGACGAACCACUAAGGUGGUGAAGCAAUUGAUGCCCCGCUUCCAGGAAAAGCCUCUAAGCUUCAGGUUACCAACAAUCGUACCCCAAACCGACACAGGUGGUCAGGUAGAGAAUACUCAGGCGCUUGAGAGAACUCGGGUGAAGGAACUAGGCAAAAUGGUGCCGUAACUUCGGGAGAAGGCACGCUGGCGGUAGGUAAAGUCCCUUGCGGACGGCGCUGAAGCCAGUCGAAGAUACCAGCUGGCUGCAACUGUUUAUUAAAAACACAGCACUGUGCAAACACGAAAGUGGACGUAUACGGUGUGACGCCUGCCCGGUGCUGGAAGGUUAAUUGAUGGGGUCAGCCGUAAGGCGAAGCUCCUGAUCGAAGCCCCAGUAAACGGCGGCCGUAACUAUAACGGUCCUAAGGUAGCGAAAUUCCUUGUCGGGUAAGUUCCGACCUGCACGAAUGGCGUAAUGAUGGCCAGGCUGUCUCCACCCGAGACUCAGUGAAAUUGAACUCGCUGUGAAGAUGCAGUGUACCCGCGGCAAGACGGAAAGACCCCGUGAACCUUUACUAUAGCUUGACACUGAACAUUGAGCCUUGAUGUGUAGGAUAGGUGGGAGGCUUUGAAGUGUGGACGCCAGUCUGCAUGGAGCCAACCUUGAAAUACCACCCUUUAACGUUUGAUGUUCUAACCUAGGCCCAUAAACUGGGUCGGGGACCGUGUCUGGUGGGUAGUUUGACUGGGGCGGUCUCCUCCUAAAGAGUAACGGAGGAGCACGAAGGUUGGCUAAGCAUGGUCGGACAUCAUGCGGUUAGUGCAAAGGCAUAAGCCAGCUUGACUGCGAGAGUGACGGCUCGAGCAGGUACGAAAGUAGGUCUUAGUGAUCCGGUGGUUCUGAAUGGAAGGGCCAUCGCUCAACGGAUAAAAGGUACUCCGGGGAUAACAGGCUGAUACCGCCCAAGAGUUCAUAUCGACGGCGGUGUUUGGCACCUCGAUGUCGGCUCAUCACAUCCUGGGGCUGAAGUAGGUCCCAAGGGUAUGGCUGUUCGCCAUUUAAAGUGGUACGCGAGCUGGGUUUAGAACGUCGUGAGACAGUUCGGUCCCUAUCUGCCGUGGGCGUUGGAAGAUUGAGAGGGGUUGCUCCUAGUACGAGAGGACCGGAGUGAACGCACCACUGGUGUUCGGGUUGUCAUGCCAAUGGCAUUGCCCGGUAGCUAAGUGCGGAAGAGAUAACCGCUGAAAGCAUCUAAGCGGGAAACUUGCCUCGAGAUGAGUCUUCCCUGUCGCUUUAAGUGACCUAAAGGAACGUUUAAGACUAAGACGUUGAUAGGCUGGGUGUGUAAGCGUAGCGAUACGUUGAGCUAACCAGUACUAAUGAACCGUGAGGCUUAACCU
This 2899-nucleotide ribosomal RNA is filed under the name Proteus mirabilis. Its description in RNAcentral is "bacterial LSU rRNA". It matches the Rfam family "Bacterial large subunit ribosomal RNA". The record is from RNAcentral. Lineage: Bacteria; Pseudomonadati; Pseudomonadota; Gammaproteobacteria; Enterobacterales; Morganellaceae.